RNAcentral lists this unclassified non-coding RNA (286 nucleotides) under plant metagenome. Its description in RNAcentral is "partial contains small subunit ribosomal RNA, internal transcribed spacer 1, and 5.8S ribosomal RNA". The stretch from base 1 to 54 matches the Rfam family "Eukaryotic small subunit ribosomal RNA", at positions 1778 to 1831 of the family's 1831-position model. The record is from RNAcentral.
GGAAGUAGAAGUCGUAACAAGGUUUCCGUAGGUGAACCUGCGGAAGGAUCAUUAUUGAAACUUCAUCCGGGGCGCCGCGGCCCUCAGCACCGGUGGAAACGCCGUGCUGCGGGGGCCGCGCGUGCACUCGUCCAAACCAAACCCCUGUGAACCUUACGGGAUGGCCCGGGUUAGCGCCCGGUGCCGUUCCGCUUUAUACAAACACUUAUCAAAGAAUGAACUGAAGGCGGUCUGACCGCUGGAUAACAAACUGAAACAACUUUCAACAACGGAUCUCUUGGCUCUC